RNAcentral lists this long non-coding RNA (795 nucleotides) under Numida meleagris (helmeted guineafowl). Its description in RNAcentral is "lncRNA (ENSNMEG00000000750.1)". Lineage: Eukaryota; Metazoa; Chordata; Aves; Galliformes; Numididae. The record is from RNAcentral.
CUUUUUACACUGUCUGAUAGUGAUAGCACAAGAGGGAACAGCUUUGAACUAAAAGAGGGGCGAUUUACGUUGGAUGUUAGGUGGAGAUUCUUUACUCAGAGAGUGAUUUGGCACUGGAACAGGUUACCCAGAGAAGCUGUGGAUGCCCCAUUGCUGGAGGUGUUCAAGGCCAGGUCGAAUGGAGCCCUGGGCAUACUGAUCUCAUGAGUGGCAAUACUGCCCAUGGCUGGGUGGCUGGAACUAGAUGACAAGCUAAGCCAUUCUAUGAUUCUCUGACUUAACAAGAAGGUGUCCAAUAGAAGGUCUAGGGAGUAAGGUCACUAAGGUUGCACCCAUUCAGUUCCAACUGAAAAGUUACCAGAGGCACUGGUUUAAGUUCAGCCACAGCUGAACUUAAAAAUUGGAGUAGCACAGCUGAAGGGAGACAAGAGUGGAGCAGUCCUGGAGGGGCCUGUGUUACAGCCUGUUUAUGUCACUUGAUGUAGUCACCUGUGUUUGGGAGCAGUGUGGAGCUACUGCAUCCAACAAAGAGCAUCAAGAAACAUCAUGACCCUACACACAAUCCACUGCAGGACCAAGCCACCAAUUCUGCACAGCCACCAGUGCUGUCUGGGAUUCAGGAAAACUGAGAAAUCUGAAAAGGCUGAAACUGUUGCCCUGAGGGAGAGGAAAAUGCCCCAGAAGACCAGGAACCCUUCCAUCUAUGCUAAGAGAAUACUUAUUAAAUUAAACAUCUCAUGCCUGCGUAGCAGCAGCUUGUAUCUCUUAAUGUGCAAAAUCCCUGCACAAAGUUAG